UACGGAGGGGACUAGCGUUGUUCGGAAUUACUGGGCGUAAAGCGCACGUAGGCGGAUUUGUAAGUCAGGGGUGAAAUCCCGGGGCUCAACCUCGGAACUGCCUUUGAUACUGCAAAUCUCGAGUCCGGAAGAGGUGAGUGGAAUUCCUAGUGUAGAGGUGAAAUUCGUAGAUAUUAGGAAGAACACCAGUGGCGAAGGCGGCCACCUGGACAACAACUGACACUGAGGCACGAAAGCGUGGGGAGCGAACAGG
RNAcentral lists this ribosomal RNA (253 nucleotides) under uncultured bacterium. Its description in RNAcentral is "partial 16S ribosomal RNA". It matches the Rfam family "Bacterial small subunit ribosomal RNA", at positions 524 to 776 of the family's 1533-position model. The record is from RNAcentral.